AUGGAUUUCCAAUACCUUGAGGAUAAGGCGGCUGGAAAAUUGGUUUCCUGGGAAGGCCAAAACAUCACUACCAUCGGUCGUACGACUCUUGUUAGGUCGGUCAUCUCCUCCCAAGCGGUGUUCUCCAUCACGCCCCUCGUCGUGCCUCAGGGUUGCCUCGAUAGCCUUAACAAAAUCGAGAGGGCUUUCCUUUGGUCCGGUGCGGACAAGACAACGGGAGCCAAAUGCAAGGUCAACUGGAAGGUGGUUUGUAGACCAAAAGAAUACGGUGGCCUGGGGGUGCUCAACACCGACAAAUUCGCACGUGCUUUGCGGCUUCGAUGGUUGUGGUAUGAAUGGAGCGAGCCCCGCAAAUUAUGGGUUGGCCUGGGAAACCCCUGCACCUCGAGGACUUCGAGUUUUUCUAUGCUUCUACGACUAUCACGGUGGGAGAUGGUGCCAAAACGCCUUUUUGGGACUCCCCAUGGCUCCUUGGUCGCAAACCUAAGGAUAUUGCACUGCUCAUCUUCGAGGCCUCGAAAAGAAAGAGUUGGAAGGUCCGUGAGGCCCUCAAGGGGAAUGCUUGGAUACUCAAGAUCAACCAAGUCGCGGUUGUAA
RNAcentral lists this ribosomal RNA (597 nucleotides) under Triticum aestivum (bread wheat). Its description in RNAcentral is "partial small subunit ribosomal RNA". The record is from RNAcentral. Lineage: Eukaryota; Viridiplantae; Streptophyta; Magnoliopsida; Poales; Poaceae.